GAUGAACGCUGGCGGCGUGCCUAACACAUGCAAGUCGAGCGGACGGACGCGGAGCUUGCUUGUCUGAUGUUAGGGGCGGACGAGUGAUUAAUAAGAGGAUAAUAUCCUUCUCCGUCUGGCAUAAUUACGGGAUAACGGAGCGAAUACUAGAUGAUAUUCUGAACCUCUCGGAUCAUAGGUCUGAGACGGUUUUGCUGUCACUUGUAGAUGGAUCCGCGCUGCAUUAGCUAGUUGGUAGGGUGAUGGCUUACCAAGGCGGCGAUGCAUAGCCGACCUGAGAGGGUGAUCGGCCACACUGGAAGUGAGACACCGUCCACACGACUACGAGAGGCAGCAGUAGGGAAUAUUACGCAACAGUCGGAAGCAUGACGCAGCAACGCCGCGGGGGUGAUGAAGGACUUCGGAUCGUAAAGAACUGUUAUUGGGGAAGAAGAUAUGUGGAAUUAACUGUGGAUGGCUUGACGGUACCUGGACAAGAAGCCCCGGCUAACUACGUG
This 497-nucleotide ribosomal RNA is filed under the name uncultured bacterium. RNAcentral's name for it is "partial 16S ribosomal RNA". It matches the Rfam family "Bacterial small subunit ribosomal RNA", at positions 28 to 507 of the family's 1533-position model. The record is from RNAcentral.